Paramuricea clavata is the source of this 272-nucleotide non-coding RNA. The record is from the annotation of a GenBank genome assembly. Lineage: Eukaryota; Metazoa; Cnidaria; Anthozoa; Malacalcyonacea; Plexauridae.
UUGAUUUGCAUUUUCCUAUAGGUUUGGUUUUGGACGCAUCCAAAACCAUUCUCAUGAGCUAUGAAUUGCCUAAUUUGUUUGCAUUUGUCUAGGGAUUGGUUUUGGAUGCAUCCAAAACCAUUUUCAUUAGCGCUAAAAUCGGCAAAUUGAUUUCCAUUUUCCUUAGCUGAUGCUAUCUUAACCAAAAUUAUUGUAAAUUAUAGCAUAUUCGUACCAUAGAUUCCUUGUAUAUUAUUGCCUUUAUUGUAUAUUAUGUAUCUUAAUAAAGUGGG